GAUGAAGAACGUAGCGAAAUGCGAUAAGUAAUGUGAAUUGCAGAAUUCAGUGAAUCAUCGAAUCUUUGAACGCACAUUGCGCCCUUUGGUAUUCCAAAGGGCAUGCCUGUUCGAGCGUCAUUUGUACCCUCAAGCUUUGCUUGGUGUUGGGCGUCUUGUCUCUAGCUUUGCUGGAGACUCGCCUUAAAGUAAUUGGCAGCCGGCCUACUGGUUUCGGAGCGCAGCACAAGUCGCACUCUCUAUCAGCAAAGGUCUAGCAUCCAUUAAGCCUUUUUUUCAACUUUUGACCUUGGAUCAGGUAGGGAUACCCGCUGAACUUAAGCAUAUCAAUAAGCGGAGGA
This 341-nucleotide unclassified non-coding RNA is filed under the name soil metagenome. Its description in RNAcentral is "partial contains 5.8S ribosomal RNA, internal transcribed spacer 2, and large subunit ribosomal RNA". The stretch from base 1 to 120 matches the Rfam family "5.8S ribosomal RNA", at positions 35 to 154 of the family's 154-position model. The record is from RNAcentral.